Molecule: ribosomal RNA, 423 nt
Filed under: Boana cinerascens group sp. ABGD cluster 22
Lineage: Eukaryota; Metazoa; Chordata; Amphibia; Anura; Hylidae
Description: partial large subunit ribosomal RNA
Rfam family: Bacterial large subunit ribosomal RNA
Source: RNAcentral
CUCGAACCAUCAUGAGAGGUACAGCCUGCCCAGUGACCCAAUGUUCAACGGCCGCGGUAUCCUAACCGUGCGAAGGUAGCGUAAUCACUUGUUCUUUAAAUGAGGACUAGUAUGAAUGGCAUCACGAGGGUUAUACUGUCUCCUUUUUCCGAUCAGUGAAACUAAUCUCCCCGUGAAGAAGCGGGAAUUAUUUUAUAAGACGAGAAGACCCUAUGGAGCUUUAAACUAACCAGCAUUUGCUAUUUAACAUAAUUUUUCAGAAAUCUAAAAAACAAUUUAGCUCUUUGACUAUAAGUUUUCGAUUGGGGUGAUCACGGAACAAAAAAUAACCUCCGUGUCGAAAGGACUCUUUCUGAGCCAAAAGUGACAACCUUAAGCACUAAAAAAUUAACGCUUAUUGACCCAAUAAUUUGAUCAACGAAC